UCUCCUGUAGCUCAGUGGCAGAGCGUGGCUACUGGUGUGCGGACGGUCAUAGGUUCGACUCCUGUUGGGAGAA
Non-coding RNA from Desmophyllum pertusum, 73 nucleotides. NCBI's taxonomy places the organism in Eukaryota, Metazoa, Cnidaria, Anthozoa, Scleractinia, Caryophylliidae. The record is from the annotation of a GenBank genome assembly.